Molecule: long non-coding RNA, 3300 nt
Organism: Eucalyptus grandis
Lineage: Eukaryota; Viridiplantae; Streptophyta; Magnoliopsida; Myrtales; Myrtaceae
Exons: 2
Source: RefSeq, a predicted model, not a curated record
UCUAGAUAGAUUGCAAAUUCAGCUUGAGUGCCCUGUUUUUUCGGGUUGAAGAGCCCGGUCGAGGCAACCGUAUUGAAGAGAACAUUUGCAACAUAGAACCCUGGGGAAAUCUCAUCCUUCGUUGAGGUUUCAAUAUGAUGGAUCCACUGUAAUUUGCUGGUAAAAUGUGGCCUUGACAGAGAAGAUGGAGGGAACUCGUACUCUGACUAAAGUUGCAAUCUGUAAUCGGGAUGUUCAGUCAUCAAUCUUUUUUCUUUCCAUGGCUCUCUUUCCUCUUGGCUCUGUCUGAUUGUCCAUCUUGGUCCUUUGAUUCCAUCCAGAUUAGCUCCUACUCCUACUCCUCCUUUUCCUUUACUGUUGGCCCUUCUUCAUAUAGCAAUUUCUUGCUCUGUUAUUUAUCAUUUAUCUUGUGAAUGGUUGUAUACUCUAUGUUGUUUUUUUCUUUUACUGUAAGCACUAUCAACUAAAUGAGAGGUGAAGAUUGAGAUUUUCUUUUUGUAGAAAUUAAGGUUGUAGUCUGUUUAAUUUGAUUUAACUGUCCUUCUGCUUUUGGGUGUGGUUAGUCAAAUAUCUUUAUUCUUAGACAAAAGGAGAAAGAUUUUUUUUAUGUUGAUCAAUGAAAACACGGGAGUAUAAUCAUAUCACGUGUUAUUUUUGUUAAGGAACAACUAGAUUUAGCUUUGAGGAUGUUUGUUUUCGGCUUGUGAGUUAGAUUUGUCAAAAUUCCAUUACUAGGGACAAAAAUUAGCCCACCUAGACCAAUACUCAAGAAGUCCCCAGUUCAAUUUGUCUUCCUUGUUUUCAUACUUGUGUGGGGGAAAAUGGUUCAUUAAUCGAUUGAAAGAGAUCUGAUAAUUGAAAACAAAUGUUGUGACAGGUGAUGGAGUGGUGGUUUUUUCAAUGUCUGACGUGCCUUUGGGAUUUGGAAUUUCACAAAGGUCGACACAGGAUUGUAGGAAGUUGGAUCCAAAUGGGCUUGUCGUGCUUCAUCAGGCAGAUAUUGGGGAAUACUUGAGGAUGGAGGAUGAACUUUGAAUGUGGGUUUGCUUAUACAUUGGGCUGUUUUGCUACUGUUUGUCAGAUUUAUGUAAGAGUUUUGCAACGGCAUUGAAUGACAAUGAUCUUGAGAUAUAGAAGAGAUGAAUUAUGCAAUAAUUCAUUUUUUUCCCUUUCCAACCUCAUGGAGUGGCUAUUUCGUUGGUUUUGCACCAUGUUGAUUUCUGUGAUAUGCUUCAAAGAAACAUAUUGUUCCAAUCCUGUGGAGUGACUGUAAGGUUUCAGAGAUAUUAUUGUGAUAUGCUGAGAUGUGCAAGUCUGGUAGAUCUUUUUUAUCAUGUCGCUAUGCCAUGGAGUUAGCCAACUCCUUUUUUCAGCUUUUUAAGUUGAAUAUCACACUUUUAGGCUGUUCAAACUUUUCAGCUAUUGAUGGAGCUUUUGCUUGUGCAUGUUCAACAUGAUACUGUUAAGGUUUGUACUUUCAAAUAUAUUACUCCACAGUUCUUUAAAAGGAAAGUUUAGCAGUUUUAAGGUUGCACUGCAGUGCGGUUCAUGGUUGUUCUAAAAGUGGACAUAUGGAAACCUGACUCAGUGGAAUUCAUUGAGUAUGUUGUGCUUUACAAACCUAGUCAUCUGCUUCUUUUGUUGAUGUCUAAGAAAAGGGUGAUGUAGUCUGGUCAGACCAAGUGGUGCAGGAAAAAUUACAAUCAUACAGCUACUGGCUCGCUUUUACAAGCAGACUGAAGGUCACAUACUGUCGCCGGAGAGGAUGUACGAACUUUCAAUAAAAGUGAAUGGGCCCAGGCUGUUUCCAUUGUAAAUCAAGUAUUUUCUUCAAUUCAUCAUCUCAAAUUUAGGAUUUAAGCACCAUAUGAAUCAAUUGGGGGAUUACUUAGCUACCAUCUUCAAUCCAUAGUCUCCAUUGUAAUUUCAUUAUCAUCUGCAGUGACUGUCAUCUGACAUUUAGAAUCAGGAGUAAGAAAUUAAGCUGGUAACAAUUGACAUUUAGAGCAGCAUUUCUUCAUCAGGUGCCCCCUGGUGUUGUCAUACUUAAGUGAUACUGAAUUAUUUCAACUGGAUCUUCUCAGCGUUCUGUAAAUGUCAGUUUUGUCUUGGCAUGAUUAGAAGGGACAACUGAGAGACAUUUCUGGGUAUAUGUUCAUUGUCAGGUAGGACUCCUGUCUUUGCAUAUUAUUGCUACAUCUGAGUGGACUGUGAGUGUGUGUGUGUGUAAAACAGCUUAACUCUAGUAGGUUUUUGAAAUCUUGAAGUUCUUGUUGGAAAGAGAUCUGUCUCUUCUGGGGAUUGGUGCUGUAUUUUAUGUAUUUUUGCUUGUAUUAUGUGCUGUUCCAUUGAUUUUUAUGAUAUAUAGCCAUAUAUGCUAUACUUCUUCACUCUUUGCAGUACUUCUUGCACUUGAUUUAGAAUUAGCUCCUGAUUUUAUAUGGUUCGGUAACCUGUUCUUUUUCCUGUUGUCCGUUGGCAAAAGUAUUGCUUAUGUCCUUCUUGAUGAUAAUGUUUCCAAGGACGAUGUGAUAAAGGCAGCCAAAGUGGCGAAUGCUCACGGGUUUGUAAUUUCUCUUCCACGGGUCUGUCCUAGUUGUCUAAAUGCAUCCUCAUGUUUUGCUUUACUGGUCUACCAUUCCUAUAUUGUCUGCUAAAUGCUUUUUUCGUUGAAAUGGUUAUGACACGUCAGCUGGUGAGCAAGGAGGCCUUCUAAGUGGAGGCGAGAGGCUGGUGAAAUAGAAAAUUUGGUUGUGGAUUCGUGUAUCUGAAUACUCGUGUUGAUUGAUUAAUCGAUGCAUCAAAUAUUCAUUGAGAGAGAGAGAGAGACUCUUUUUUUACCUGCAGAGAAUUGCCAUCACCAGAGCCCUACUAAAGAAUGCGCUAAUACUAAUAUUGACGAGAUAGAUCUCUUUUGCUUCUCUUUGGCUCAUUGUUGGUGCAGGCAACAAGUGCCUUAAAUGCAGUUAGUGAGCGCCUUGUCCAGGAUGCUCUAGACCAUCUGAUAGGGGGUGGACAAUAUUGGUGAUUGCUCAUAGAUUCGGUACAGUUCAGAAUGCCCGCCAAAUUGCACUUUGUUCAUAUGGGAGGAUUGCAGAACUAGGGACUCACUUUGAGUCAUUGGCUAGGAAGGGUCAAUAUACUGGCCUUAAUUGGCACUCAGAGGCUGGCUUUUGAAUGACCCUGUAGUGGCUUAUAAUGAUGGAUGUCUUAUACUCAUCCUUUGAAAGGUGCGCCAGUCGCAAGAUGAUACCUUUUCUAGGCCAUUUGGCAACUAUCAAGUGUAAGCUUUGCAUGCAA